GAACUUAUUUUGAGAGAGAGCACUUCAUCAUGAGGUCAUAAAGAUGAGCUUCAAAUGCCUCUCACCAUUCUAACGGCAUUGAUCUAAUGAUGCCAACAGGAAGUUGUCGUGCUUGAAUUGGUCCAGGCAUCACCACCUUCUCAACCAGCAUUGACGAUUUCUAAUGACCAGUUCAACAGCCUUAUCCAGCAGAUGUAGGCUUUGACUGUUGCCGUAUAAGAAAUGCAACAAGUUGCUGCACUUCAGCUCGCACCAGAGACUUUACAUCAAGAUCAAGCU
RNAcentral lists this long non-coding RNA (279 nucleotides) under Elaeis guineensis (African oil palm). RNAcentral's name for it is "long non-coding RNA (EGUI_LNC081015)". The record is from RNAcentral. Lineage: Eukaryota; Viridiplantae; Streptophyta; Magnoliopsida; Arecales; Arecaceae.